UUGGAAAAGCCACAUAGAGGUCAAACUCUGUCUAGCUAUCCGUCUAUAAAGAAAUCCAGACAGCGUAAUGCAGCAUUUUAUGAACAACAAGUGGAUCUUCUGGGAAUGACAGAAUCCUCCCUACGAAUUAGAAGCAUGGAAGGAUUCGUUACACUUUAACAUGUUUCUUCAGUGACAUGUGCGACCUUGACUUUUAAUUAUUCAAGAGUGGCAAGUAUGGAACCUAAAGUGGAUUGUUGACACAAGAUGCCUGGAAAUAAGGAGAAUUAUGAAAGACAUACUGUUGUUUUAAAUUUCAAACCACAGUUACCUGUGUAACUAAAGAACCUGUAAGUCCCUCAAUAGGAAAAAGUGGAAACUGACCCAGAGGAUGCCAGACAGAAGGAUAUAUCCAAUUGCAGUUCUUACCAGCAUACAGGAGGAGGUUCCAUAUGAAUAUAACUUCUUGCCUAAGUUGGUUUAGGUAAGAAGACUCUUCAUGUGCCUGUUUCCUUCAAAUUUUAAGGGAAUCACUCAGGCUGCAUCUUCUCUCCCUUCUACUCUCCCUGAGAUGAGAGAAGAACGAUCACCAAUGGCAAAUGCAGUUGUAGCGAAGUAAAACCAAGAGCUGGCCUCACGCGCCACAGAGAAUGCUGCGUCUCCUCCUCAUGGUUUCUGGGGCUCCUCACGCUGAGAAACUUCUGUAGCCACAAAUCAUAUAAAUGAUCCCUGAAAGUAUAGUCUUUCCAUUUCUUACUAAUGAAGUCAUGCUCUGCUCACCUCCAACUUGACAGUGUUUGGUAGCUUUGUCAUAGGCUUCUCAUUGCUGAGGCAGGAACCAUAGGAAUAUUGGCCUCAGAAACAGUAAGGUGAGGGACAAAGAGUCUAAGAUAAGGAACCUAAUAUUGCAUCAUUGCCUAGUGGCAGGGAUGGCAGAACGCUGUCAUUCCCCACCCUGUGCCGGUGGCAGACAUUGCUAAUCAAUCAUGCACUCUUAUCUACUGAACCUGAGGAGCCUCAGACUCCUCAAAAUGGUGGCCCUGAGUCACAUCCCAGUUAACUGCACUUGGCUGUUGAAACGAAAUGUAUUUGUUAUCCUCAACCUAAUUAUUAAAAAGCUGUAGUUUUGGAGUCACACAAAUCUGAGCUUAAAUUUCGCCUGUGUCAUCUGAGCAACUUAGCCUCUUUAAGCUUCUGCUCCCACCAUCAUCACAUCCCUCAGAGUGUGUGGGAAGGGCAAAUGGGGCAGUGUGUCUUAAGUUUCUUGAAAACAAUGCAAAACCCAGUUCCAGUGUCAAAUCCGAGGAGUUAUUUAGAAUCUCUGGACUGCUCCCAGUUUCCUUCCAGGAAAAAUUAGGGUUGUGAAAGUUGUCAAAAUCAAAAUGGAGUCACUAAUGUUAAAAAAAGAAAGAAAGAACCCUGACAAAUGGAGCUGGGAAAGGCCAUGAAGAGAGAGUUCUCAUACGUGUAAGCCUGAUAACAAAAACUGUCACACAAGACUCUGUAAAAACCAUGACCUCGCACAAAGGCCGUUGCAGCCUUACACAAAAAAGACUUCUGCAAAGACAUCUGCCCAGCCACUGCCUAUCCAAGCCUAGACUGGCAUCACCCUUGUUAUUGAUCUUUGGAGCCAAGGAUAAUUAUGUCAAAACAAAUAUGUAAUCCUUCUCUUUCUUUCUUUAAAAAUCUGUCUUCCUUUACCUCCCUGAACAUGUAC
RNAcentral lists this long non-coding RNA (1696 nucleotides) under Homo sapiens (human). RNAcentral describes it as "HSALNT0294848". Lineage: Eukaryota; Metazoa; Chordata; Mammalia; Primates; Hominidae. The record is from RNAcentral.